Long non-coding RNA from Mytilus californianus (California mussel), 2765 nucleotides. RefSeq lists it as uncharacterized. The record is from RefSeq and is a predicted model, not a curated record. NCBI's taxonomy places the organism in Eukaryota, Metazoa, Mollusca, Bivalvia, Mytilida, Mytilidae. The transcript has 2 exons.
UUUGUUUAGAAAAUUGAGUUUUGCAAGUGGUAGUUAAUAAAGCGUCGUGCGGAUGUUAUAAAUAUCUAACAGCUUCUGUAUUAAUGACAGAUCAUUAAUAUAGAGAUCAUGUGAUAUAUGUGAUGUAAAAUAACGAUGACCAUUAAUGCGUCAACGUCAAACGGCAGAGUUGGUUGAAAAACAUGUAUCACAUUUACCGAGCUGCAGGAAGGACUAGAUACAAUACUUCUACCCUCAGUGUUGUCAUCACAACCAUAUGGUGUCACAGUUUUCUUUAACCUUUUUUUGAUUCAAGCGGCACUGUUGAUUCUUUUGUAAAACGAAUCGUGCGAUAGGCGUACAAGAUUAUAAGCUGGUAUAUUCGAUGAAUUAUUUUCGAAUUCCCGAAUUCAGUAGUCCUUCUUUUGCACACACAGAGGUGUUGCUUGAUAAUGAUUGUGAUUCCUGUAGUUAAAUAUUCGGGGAUGCGAUCUUGCCUUUUUAACCUUUUUGAUUCGAGCGUAAAUGAGUCUUUUGUAGACGAAACGUGCAUCUGGAUUACAAAAUUUAAAUCUUGGUAUCUAUGAUGAGUUUACUUGCAUAAAAAAUUGGAAUGAUCAUACUAAUAAAGAUGUUCAAAAACAAUGUAAUUUGCAUUGUUGUUUAUGUCUGAUCUAUAUACCACGCAAACAUAAAUCAAGCCUCUUUUUUUGUGUUUUGUUUCACCAACCCACCACAUCCAAGUCUACAAUGGUUACACGUUGAUUCGAAAACAAGAUUUGUUGAUUUAUAAUUCAGAUCAUCGUCGAUUCUGGUAUAAUAAGAAACUUUAUUUAAAUUCCUAGGAAAUUGAGCAUCUGUUACCGACAUUUCACAGGGUUUGCAGUCUUUGAAUUUCCAUUUUAAAAUGAGACACUGCUUAUCAGAAGCAUGUAUAUACAUCUGCGCUUCAGUAUGCAGUUUCCAAAUUGCAGUUGUCACUUUGUAUUACUAGACAAAUUCGGUAUUACGGUUACAACCACCUAUUGGUAGGCCGAUACGAUGUAUCAUUUAGUCGCUUAAUCUAUAAUUUUACUGAUUAUGUCCUAUCACCGAUUUGAACAUUUUAACUAUGCUGACUUCGCUUGGUGGAUAAUGCAUGCAUACCAGAAAAAGCUUAUCAUUUCGACACAUCAAGUUUCGAAUAUUUUGGAGUUCUUGUGAUUUCUUUAUUUUUUGUCGGUCACCUUUGCCACUUUGAAAACUUAACUUGAAGAUUGUUUCAUUGUUUUCUAUUAUAAUAACCUGUUUUUCAUUUUAGCGUAACGAUGUAUGAAUAAACUCAUCGUAGAUACAUUUUGUACCAGGAUUACAAUUGUGUACGCCAGAAAUGUUUCGUCAUUUAAAGACUCAUCAGUAAGGAUCGAAUCAUAAAAGUAAAAAAGGCAAACUAAAGUACGAAAUUGAAGAUUCUUAGUAUUUCGAAAAAUCAAAGUUUUGUAAACAGUUAAUGUAUAUAUAUGACCAUAUCAACGAUAAUUCAUAGCAGUACAGAAGUACUGACUGCUUGUUUGGUGAUACCCUCGGAGAAGAAACUUCCACUAUCAGUAGCAACGACCUAGUAGUUGUAAAUAAACUCAUCAUUAAUACCAGCACUUAAACUGUAUACGCCAGACGCUCGUUUAUUCAUUUAAUUUAUUCACUUGAUUUAUUGAUUCACACAACAAUUUCAGACAGGUUUUGUUUUUGUUAUUAUCGUUGUAACUUUUGAAAGAUAUAUCUUGCAGUAGGGACUCUUUCAAAGAGAAUGGCUGACACUGGGUUCAACUUCUGUUUCAGUACACAUCAAACUUUUCACUGUUUCGCUUUACUGUAUACCUAUUUGUGCGCCUAGUUUUGUUAGACGUCGACGUUUAACUGAUAUAAUUGUCAUUGUCUUCUUAGAAAGUAAUAUGUUUGGCACUAUUGUAUACGAACUAUGAACUACAGUAAGAUAAAUGUACUCUGAUGUGUUUACACUUUUUGCUGAUGUUGUUACAUAUUUUGGAUGGUGUUCUAGAUUUCAUGUCUCUUGAGAUAAUAAAUUUGUUGGUAAAUGAAUACACAGAUACAUGAUUUCGUUAUUAGUUGUUAGUACUUUCAGAUCGGUAUUUUGUGUCUUUAGCCUUUUAACUGUCAUACAAGUGGGAGGUUUAGAUAGCUAUCAAACUGAGUUUAUUCCCCAAUUUUCCCGGAAAAUACCUGUUCCAAGUAAGGAAUAUGACAAUUGUUUUCCAGUUGGUUGAUUGUCGAGUGUUUGGAUUUGUAAGGUAUUAUGGACCUUAUUGAAUUUUCUUUAGAGUUCGGUAUUCCUGAUAAUGCAUCUCGUGUUAUAGGCGAGUGACAGUUUUCAAAAAGACGCUUGGUUAACGACUUUAAUGCACCCAACUAACAUACGUCUAUAUUAUAUAUCAUUCGAAAGCUUAUUAUCUGUACUUUCUGUUUUGUCCGGUCGUCAAUAAUUCGUACGGUUCAAUUUUUGUUAAAUUAAGGUCAAAGGUCAAGAAUGGACAUUCACAAAUUUCACAAAAUGCCCUUUACUGAUUUUUGUAUGUUAUUUUUUUUCUUAAAUUAAUAUGGACAUAAUAGAACAGCAUACCAUAAUUCCUUAUCAAUUAAAAAAUAAAUAAAUUGCGCUAUAUUUGCAAAAAAAUGCAAUUCUUAGAAAAUAAUUCAAAAAUGAUAAAAUUGCGCUAAAAGCAAAAUAUUUCUUCAGGUAUCAAUAUUUGUAUGUCAAAAAUAAAAUAUAUUUAUUGUUUAUAGGUGAA